GACGAACGCUGGCGGCGUGCUUAACACAUGCAAGUCGAACGCUGAAGCCCAGCUUGCUGGGUGGAUGAGUGACGAACGGGUGAGUAACACGUGAGUAACCUGCCCUCUUCUUUGGGAUAACGCCCGGAAACGGGUGCUAAUACUGGAUAUUCACUGGCCUUCGCAUGGGGGUUGGUGGAAAGGUUUUUUCUGGUGGGGGAUGGGCUCGCGGCCUAUCAGCUUGUUGGUGGGGUGAUGGCCUACCAAGGCUUUGACGGGUAGCCGGCCUGAGAGGGUGACCGGUCACAUUGGGACUGAGAUACGGCCCAGACUCCUACGGGAGGCAGCAGUGGGGAAUAUUGCACAAUGGGCGAAAGCCUGAUGCAGCGACGCCGCGUGAGGGAUGACGGCCUUCGGGUUGUAAACCUCUUUCGCUCAUGGUCAAGCCGCAACUUAGGGUUGUGGUGAGGGUAGUGGGUAAAGAAGCGCCGGCUAACUACGUGCCAGCAGCCGCGGUAAUACGUAGGGCGCGAGCGUUGUCCGGAAUUAUUGGGCGUAAAGGGCUUGUAGGCGGUUGGUCGCGUCUGCCGUGAAAUCCUCUGGCUUAACUGGGGGCGUGCGGUGGGUACGGGCUGACUUGAGUGCGGUAGGGGAGACUGGAACUCCUGGUGUAGCGGUGGAAUGCGCAGAUAUCAGGAAGAACACCGGUGGCGAAGGCGGGUCUCUGGGCCGUUACUGACGCUGAGGAGCGAAAGCGUGGGGAGCGAACAGG
Molecule: ribosomal RNA, 751 nt
Filed under: uncultured Actinomyces sp.
Lineage: Bacteria; Bacillati; Actinomycetota; Actinomycetes; Actinomycetales; Actinomycetaceae
Description: bacterial SSU rRNA
Rfam family: Bacterial small subunit ribosomal RNA
Source: RNAcentral